UCUUGUAUUCGUUUCACUCUACUCAAGGUCAAGUAGGAAACUAAGAUAGGUAACUUUCUGAUUUAAUGUUGGAUAUUUUUAUUGGAUUAUAGGUCAUCACUGAAUUGCCUCUAAAUAUUUCAUCCUUUUGAAGUUCCUUUUUUCCAGUGAGAAAUAUGAAAAUUUAGUGGAGGCCCUUGGUUGUUCAUCUCCUUUUUCCGUUAAAAACAUAUGCUAGCUAGCAAGCAGUCAUAGCAGGCAACAGAAAAUAUUUUUUGUCUUGAGGUUUUGAUCCUUUUGGAGAAUUUAUUAUUUGUGCCCUUAAUCAGACACUUCAUAUUUAUCAUUUUCUGGUUGUAGAUCUUACCUACUGAAAAAUCCUAACAUUAUCCUUUUGUGAGGAUCAAAAUUCACAUGGUCAAUUACUAUUCUCAAAGUUGCACAAGCCCCCUUAGGCUAAACAUGUUAUAAACUUCUAGGAUGUUAAACUGUUGAAAUUGGAGCAAAGAGAGAGUUUUAAGCAACUGCAAUGACAAUUAAGGUUAUGGCAUGGACCUUCUAAUUUAGUGUCCAUUCUCAUUGGUAAUAUAGUUAGCCUCUUUGAGUACAUUCAAGCUAUCUUGGAUUUUGCCUAGUUUGUUCCAUCAAACUAAUGGAUAGUGGAGCAUGCAAAGUUAGGGAUAGGAAGGACCUGUAAUUUCGAUAGUGUCUUGACUUUGCAGUUUGGUACCCUCAUGGAACCCUCUGGGAAAGAAAAAUGAUAAAGAGUAUUUUUGGUGUUUUUCUUUUGGAAAUGGAAAGAAAAAUUGCAGAUCUCUAGAUGAUAUUGGGCAUUUUAGUUCAGGUAAGGCCAGUGAUCUGGGUGGCUUCUAUGGGAAAAAGCUUCAAGUUGCUGCAAGUUAAGAAUGCAAUAGGGUGAGGGGAAGGCUGAAUGUUACAUGGGUAGAAUUCAUAAAAUAGAUCAAAAUCUCACAUGUUGAAUGGUGACUUGUCUUACUAUCAGGUGAAAUGGCUGGAUAGGAUACUUGUAAUUAAACCAAGAUUGUGAUUCAAAUGGUACUUGUAGGGCAAUGAAUUUAUGAUUUGAUCUUAGAGAAUUGAUAGUUAGGAAUGCCCAAGCAAACUAACAAAUUCAAAUGUAAUUGAGCUGUAUAAACUAGUGAGAAACAAUUGUAUAUUUGAGAUGAAAAACACCUACCAGCUUUAGAAGCUCUUGUGUGAAUCAAAGUUAGGGCAAGGGCUGAAGAUGAGAGAACGAUUGCACAUAGUAUUUCAAGGCGUUGGAUCAACCACUCAUUUGCUGUGAAACUGUAGAAGAAUGGACUUGCAUUUAUGUCAAUGAAGCCCAAAUUCUUUGAAAAGUGUCUAUCUUCGUCCCCGAAAGCUCUAAUUGUCAUAGCUCCAGCAAUGGACUCAGAAAGAUGGCUUGCAACAAAAGACUUGGUUGUGCCAUUGAUUCGCAUCAACUCUUUUCCAGCAGCAAAGUAGUACCUCUGGUUGUUAAAAUGAAAACAGACAUGAUCAAUUGCUAAGAAGCGAAGAGAAGCACAAAAUAUCUUACAAGCAAGACCCUAAAUGCUAAAUGAGGAGGGAAGCAGCUGCCUCUGCUACAUCCAUGUAAACAUCAUACAGUAGUGUAUUACCUGGAUGAGUAUACUUAGAUAAAUUGUUGGUAAAAUGACAAACACAAGUUCCCAGGCAAGAAUAGCCAACACUCCAAAACUGGCAUAAGCAUUCAUAGCUGCCCCAACAGCAAAAGUAAAUUUGAAGGCCACAUCAAGGUCAACCACACUCAAAUCAGAAGAUACCUGCAAAAAGGCAAUAAAAAAAUAAGUCUUCUGUUCUUUGCAAUAGGCAUUUAUUUUAAGCAUCUUACCCGACUGAGUAUCCUUCCCAGAGGUGUUGAGUCAUAAAAGGACAUUGGUGCUCGAAAAAGAGAGCUCAGCAGUGUAGAGAAAAUAGAUUGUGAUGCCUCAAGGCCUAAAAGAACAACAAAAAAAGACCGGAGCAACAAAAAGAGUGAUAAGCUUAAUCCGAUCCCUGUGUAAACUGCAAUCAGUUUCAAUUGGCUAACACUAGAAUUCUGGACAUUUGCAGCCAACCAAUAGUUUUGCACCAACUGUCCAACAAUGAAUAUGACAUGAGAUAGAGUUGCCAAAAAGAAGUACAAGAAUCCCUUGCUGUAUUUCAAGUAUUGUAGGUAAGGCUUGAGACCAGUGUCUCCAAUUUCUCUUUCUUCUUUCUUAAUUAACUGCUCUCCUGAUGUGUCUCUCAAUUGUUUCUCGGUGUAAAUCUUCUGUAUCUCUCCCUUUGGAAUUUUAGAUUUCUGGGUAGAAUCUUGCUCAGGUUGCCUCUCAGAACCAACUGUGGCAUUGUGUGCAUUAACAAGGUCCUGGAACUCUUGACUAAAGCGCAUCAGUUGCUCAAAGGUAGCAGCUUGCAGGAUCUCCCCUUCGGACAUUAACUGCCAACAGAAUUAGUCAUUUGGACUGCUUGAUUUAAAAGCAUGUGUUACUCAAGGAUUGCCUUCCAGAUGGUGGAAAUUACUUGUUAAGAAAGGAAAAGAAGUCAAAUGAGAGUUAAAGAAGGACAUCCAAGAAAGUAACUGUACUAACCAGAACCGAAUCAAAUGCUGGAAGGAAGUCCACUUGGUGGGUCACAAGUAUGACCGUCUUCGUUGAUAGAGCUCCCAUGACAUAUUCCUGGCCACAACUGGCAUUAGCAUUCACUCUGAAAGCAAUAACAUUAGUAGCAUAAUUUCUAAAAAAGGAGAACCGUACAUACAUUAAAUAGACUGGUUGCAGUAUGUGCAUCGACCGCACUAAAUGGAUCAUCCAGGAGAUAUACAUCUGCAUCCUGAUAUAAUGCGCGUGCGAGUUGAACCCUCUGCUUCUGUCCACCACUCAGAUUAACACCUCUUUCUCCUAUUUCAGUGAGAUCACCAAAUGGAAGCAUCUCAAGGUCCUUCACUAGGGCACACUUCUCAAUAACCUCUCUGUAUCUGUAAGGAUCCAUAGCAGACCCAAACAGAAUAUUUUCUUGUAUGGUACCUGUUGGAAUCCAUGCUGUCUGAGAGACGUAAGCAAUCUUUCCAUAAACUCGAACCUGGAAAAGAUGGAUCCAGAAUCCGUAUUAAGACAUUUGUCUACGUAAGACUCCUAGAACCUUUCGGGGCUCAUGAAGUUUUCUACCUUCCCCUUUUCCCCCCAUGAUGUUAAUAUCUACCAAAUGAAGUGUGUAUAAAUCAGGAAUGAUGCAUUACUUCUUUCACUUUUUAAGUUUGUUUUCUUUUGUAUUCCUAGUUAGGAAACCCUGAAAGAACAUAAAAAUUCCCUGUGGGUUUGUUGUUAUUCCUCUCAGUACAACUGUGCAUAAAGUAGUUGUUGAGUAUUUAUUCUAGUCCAUGGAUGAGGAAGAAAUGGAAUUGAAAGGGGUACUUACUAUGCCAUUAACGUGUGGAACUUCUCCAAGAACAGCAGCUAAUAGUGUCGAUUUACCUGAGCCAACCUCUCCACAAAUUGCUACCUUUUCCCCAGGCUUAACCACCAAAGUUAUGUUCCUUAGCGUAGCCCUUGUAGUGUUAUCCUCCCAUGAAAUUCUGUUGCUCUUGAUAAAAAUGGAUUCCUCCAGCUCCUUCCCAUCACACAUCUUCCUUACAUGUUUGUUCUGCAGCUCUGGUGCAUCAAGAAACUUUGCAAUCCGAUCUAACGAAACCUUGGCCUCAAUGAAUGCUGAAAUGACAUCAGGGAUUAACCUUAUUGGCUCCUGGGCAAGGCGUAAACUUGCCAUAAAUGUGAAAACAUUGGUAGCAGAGAGAGUAGUUCCAAGAAAGUAGCAUGCCCAGAAAGUAACCGCCGAUACUACAAUGGGAGAGGACCAAAACAGAAUCAGAUUGUACCCUCUCUGUGACAGAACUGAUGAUAACCACUUGAAUUCCUCUUUCCUCAACCCUUCUAUGACAUUCUUGAAAUGAGUCUCCCAAGCAUACAGCUUCAGAAUUUUCAUGUUUGUAAGUGCCUCUGUGAAAGUCUUCAGCCUCUUGUCCUGAGUUCCCAUGAGCAUUUUCUGGUACUUGUGUUGUAACUUUCCCAUAGGAGAGUUUGUAACUACAGUCAAUAUUACUACAGACAGAGCUGCUAUAGUUGCAAGCCCCACCGAGUAGUAAAUAAUAAGCAAUGCCAGACACAACUGGAGGCUUGUUGACCAUAUCUGGUGAAACCAGUACGGGUAUUCACCUAUUUUGUAAGCAUCAAUGGUAACAAAGUUAAUGAUCUGACCAGGGGAAUACGACCCCUUUGCAGCAUUUGAGAGCUUAAGCUGCUUCUGAUAGAUGGCUGCAGAUAGAAAUGAUCUCACUUGGAGCCCAAUCAAUCUAGUUCGAAAGAACCAUUGCCUCUCUGAUAACGAUUCUAAGCAUUUAGUAAGGAAGAGCCCUCCUGUCAGUGCAUAACCUUCAUACUCAAAAGCUUCUUUGCCUUCAGCAACCAGGAUGAAGGCUCUAAGAAACAGAGGGCCAGUAGAAAGUGUCAGUACCUUGAUCAAUGCAUAAAAGCCAGAAAACAAAAUUUGUUUCCACUGCCACAACAAUAUAGUUGACAAAAUGGAAGGAGAGUGAGAUGACCGCUUGUUUUUCUGCUUGUUCUGCUGUUCCAUGAACAUUGAGUAACACAUUUCCGCUCGAUCUUCCCUUCUUAGCUGUGGAAUGUCUUUGUCCUCAAGUGUUUUCUCCUUACCCUUCUUGAUCAACGAAUUCAACCACCAAAAUGACAGUCUACUAAUAAGCCCGGCUUUCUGAAAAGGAGGUAAGCUGGCAUCUGAAUUGAUUUUAUCACCACCACUGCCUCCUUCACCAGGCAACGGUGUAUAGAAGCCAGCACCAUCAAUUUCUGAAUCAGUUCCUGCAUAUUUCGGUCCUGAAAAAGUGGAGAACAUCGAUAGAAUUGCUCCAGGAAAAGAUAUAACAUCUAAAAUCAUCUUGACUGAUACUGCAUCGCUCACAAUAGCUUCCCAGAAAGAUGUAACACAGAGAAAACCUGCAAUAAAGAAUGCAAGUACUGAACAGAGCUUCAGCCCUGCAAUAUGUAGAACUUGAUGCCUCCUAAACCUCACAGCUAAACCCAGAAAAAACCAGGCGAAGCCUUGUAAUAAAUUCACUAGCCAGCCAUGCAGAGGUAGAAUGGUGUUCUCUUCAAUCAGCUUCUCUCCCAAAAUCCAGAUCCCCAAACCCAGAUAAACAAACCCCAAACUACCAUUAAGAAAGGCUGCAGAAUUUAGCGUUGUGGAAAAGCAUAGAGACCGUUGAGGGGAUAAUAUCUUCAAAGCUGAUGCUUUAUAUAUGAAGAUAAAUAAUAAUAAGAACAAGAGGAUGAUGUCUACAGAAAUGACCAAAAUAUGAUUGAGACAUGAACAUGGACAGAUGAUGGCUAGGAACCCAGAACUGCUUAUCUUUCCAAUUUUACUUGAACACCCGGUACUUCCACAGAAAACAGUCCAGAGACUCUCACCCAUGUUGUAUCUUCUUGCCUGCACAAAACUGUGGCUGUAAUAAAAUAAAAAAAAUAAAAAAAAGAAACAAAAAGCAAAGGGUUAUUUAUUAGAUUUUUGGCGUUUUAGAGUUGGAAGUAGUACUAAACAUGAGAACCAUCAAUGCGUGCCUAAUAGUUUCAGUUCUCAGUGGAACUUAAAAGUUAAAUUUAUCAUACAGGACUGAUCUGAACUUAAUUCACAACCCCAGGUGCCUAAGAUCAGGAGAAAGAAUCCAAGAACAACUGAACUGAGAUUGAAGAGAACUGACCAUAGACAGAGAACAUGAGAAAUUGCAGAAAACAGAUAGGGAGAAUGGGAUCCAAUGGAAAUGAAUCAAACAUGAAAGCAGAAGAUGUGAACAAGAUUCAGGAAACGUAUGCAAAACCCCCCAUUUCUCUGUUUCGUUGUUGAGAAAGAUACUGGAAAAUAAAUGUAAACCUUGAAUCUCAUAACAAGUAAGGGAUGGAGUGGUAGCCUUAAGAUUGCAAAACUUCUUUUCUUAUACCAUGAGUCUCAGUAACCAAACACAACCCACUGAGAUUCCUUGACCAAGCACAGUCUAGGCCUAUUUUCUCAAGCUGAAAGGAUGAGCACAAAAAAACAGGAACAAGAAGAUGAGGCAGUUACCUUAGGAUACGUUGGACAAUGAUGUAAAACCAAACCACAUCUUUUUAUUUAAGCUUUCUGGAAAGGGGACAGGAAUAAUUAUAUAGUAGAAAAGCUUGCAGAAAUAAAUAGAAUCGAAUGGAAAGAAAUUGUUCCUUUUCUUUCGGUCCUAGCUUACACUUUUCCAGGUUCCCAUAAUAAUAGCUAAAGGACCCCUUGAUAGGAUCAAUUCAAGAAAAAGAUGGGAAAAAAAGAAAAGAAGAAAAACAGAGCCCAGAAGAGGAAAAUAGUAGAAAAUUAAUGCUCACAAUGCACUGAGUCAGCCCAACAGAAAAAGAAGUUUUAUAUGAAGGACCCAAGAAUUCAAAGCAAUUAAUGAGGAAACAAACAGAAUGAUGGAGCAACUUCAGAGAGUGAAAACCAUCUUGAACCAAUUAUAGAAUGCACAGAACAUGGGGGUGGUCAAAAU
This 6580-nucleotide long non-coding RNA is filed under the name Vitis vinifera (wine grape). RNAcentral describes it as "long non-coding RNA (VVIN_LNC000330)". Lineage: Eukaryota; Viridiplantae; Streptophyta; Magnoliopsida; Vitales; Vitaceae. The record is from RNAcentral.